CCAAUAAGGGGUCGCUCGAGCGGUGCAGCACAGCAUGGUGACGGCUGGACUGAGGCCGUUGCCAUUUUGCUGCCGUCACCCAGACAGCACACCUCCCACGACAUGCGGCGGGGGCACUGUCAGGAGAGACGGCAGCAGUGGCCAGCGGACGGGAACCUUGCCCGAUUCAAAGAGGUGCAUCCCCACAUCUCCCAACCAGUCCUCGUCCUGGGCUCACUAGCACUCUGCCAGGCACAGCACCCAGCAUGAGCUCGCGUUUCCGGGCAGCACCAGCUGUUGGCAUCUUGGCACCAAGGGCAUGGCUGGGGCCCUACCACUGUCCCCUGAUGAGAGACCCCACCCAUAUCCAGGCUGCACAGACCCACGUGGAGUGAGGGGGAGAGGAGGGUGACGUUAUAGGACGAGAGGGGCUGCUGGGUAUCAUGGGUGGCCUGUGAUAUCUACGCGUCAAGUAUCUAAAGGGGACAAAGACAGAACUGCCCCAGACUCCCCACCCCUCAAGUGGGGACCCCCAUCAGCCUUAUGAGUGAGGGUAUUACCCUUGGAGCUCCUCACUCAGCGCAGAGGGUCCCUGGCCCUCCCUCGCCGUCCACUCUAGCAGCACUCCGUGCGUCCCCACCCAGAACGCACGGCCCUGGGAUGACAGGUUCGCCUGCUCCCCUUUCGGGCUGUAAGCUCCGGGAGGAGCUCCCAGAACUCACCUGCCUUUCCCUGUUGCUCCCUCGGUGCCCACAACGGAGCCUGGCCCAUAAUCAGACCCCAGGAGUCCCUGUGAGGAGAUCGUGAGAGGUGCUGAGGGAGAGGAAAGCGUGGGGAAGACGCCCAGAUUUCCGAGGCCCCGAGAGAGGAAACACUUCUUGUCCAAGUCACAGGCGAGGCCCAAGGUCACAGUUCCUGCUGGGCCUCCCCGCACACUGCACUGAGCUCAAAGGCGGUGCUGCGACAGCCUGGCAUCUCCCAGCGCAUGUCCCACGGAGCGCCAGGCUCAGACUCUAGUGGGUAGCAACGGUCCACAGGGAAACACCGUGGGGAACUCCGGGUUCGACACAGGGAAAACGCUUCUUCACCAUUGGACUCUCAGAGCCUUUACUGUCCUCGUGCGCAUGGGAUCCUCGGUGAAGGUCACAGUCGGUAUCCCCCACACAUCUGACCACGGAAUUAUGCCUUUGAAGCCCUUGGCAACAUCCCCAACUGCUUGUCAUGAUUAUUUACUGAACAUGGCACAGCACACAGAUUUGUUGCAACUUUUGGGGUGGUGCAAGGAAGCCCUUUUUUCACAAGUGAAAAUUAAUCCCAGCCCCAAAA
Long non-coding RNA from Myotis brandtii (Brandt's bat), 1305 nucleotides. RefSeq lists it as uncharacterized. The transcript is spliced from 2 exons. Lineage: Eukaryota; Metazoa; Chordata; Mammalia; Chiroptera; Vespertilionidae. The record is from RefSeq and is a predicted model, not a curated record.